RNAcentral lists this ribosomal RNA (939 nucleotides) under uncultured archaeon. RNAcentral's name for it is "bacterial SSU rRNA". It matches the Rfam family "Archaeal small subunit ribosomal RNA", at positions 21 to 903 of the family's 1478-position model. The record is from RNAcentral.
CCCCACUGCUAUCGGGAUGGGACUAAGACAUGCUAGUCGUGCGUCUCCAAGUUAUGGUGGAGAAGCGGCGUACAGCUCAGUAACACGUGGCUAACCUACCCUUGGGACGGAAACAUCUCCGGGAAACUGGAGCUAAUUUCCGAUCGGUGACGAUUCCUGGAAUGGGUCAUCGCCUAAAGGGCGUUUAGACCAUGCUUCUAGACGUUGCCUAAGGAAGGGACUGCGGCCGAUCAGGUUGUUGGUAGGGUAACGGCCUACCAAGCCUAUAACCGGUACGGGCCCUGAGAGGGGUAGCCCGGAGAUGGGAACUGAGACAAGGUCCCAGGCCCUACGGGGCGCAGCAGGCGCGAAAACUCCACAAUGCACGAAUGUGUGAUGGGGUUAUCCCGAGUGCUGUCCGCUGAGGAUAGCUUUUUCCUAGUGUAAGUAGCUAGGGGAAUAAGAGGGGGGCAAGACUGGUGUCAGCCGCCGCGGUAAUACCAGCCCCUCGAGUGGUAGGGACGAUUAUUUGGCCUAAAGCGUUCGUAGCCGGCUUAGCAAGUCCUCCGUGAAAUCCAACGACUUAAUCGUUGGGCGUGCGAAGGAUACUGUUAGGCUUGGGGACGGGAGAAGUCGACGGUACUCUCGGUGUAGGGGUGAAAUCCUAUAAUCCCGAGAGGACCACCAGUGGCGAAGGCGGUCGACUAGAACGUGCCUGACGGUGAUGGACGAAAGCUGGGGGAGCGAACCGGAUUAGAUACCCGGGUAGUCCCAGCUGUAAACGAUGCAGGCUAGGUGUUGGGGUAGCCACGAGCUACCCCAGUGCCGCAGGGAAGCUCUUAAGCCUGCCGCCUGGGAAGUACGGUCGCAAGGCUGAAAUUUAAGAGGUAGAAAGCCUCUUGAACAGCAGACUUAAAGGAAUUGGCGGGGGAGCACCACAAGGGGUGAAGCCUGCGGUUU